Molecule: transfer RNA, 74 nt
Filed under: Janibacter anophelis
Lineage: Bacteria; Bacillati; Actinomycetota; Actinomycetes; Micrococcales; Intrasporangiaceae
Also listed under: 1 other name
Description: tRNA-Lys
Rfam family: tRNA
About the family: Transfer RNA (tRNA) molecules are approximately 80 nucleotides in length. Their secondary structure includes four short double-helical elements and three loops (D, anti-codon, and T loops).
Source: RNAcentral
GGGCCUCUAGCUCAAUCGGUCAGAGCUGCGGACUUUUAAUCCGUAGGUUGUGGGUUCGAGUCCCACGGGGCCCA